This 814-nucleotide ribosomal RNA is filed under the name Campylobacter showae. Its description in RNAcentral is "bacterial SSU rRNA". It matches the Rfam family "Bacterial small subunit ribosomal RNA", at positions 56 to 889 of the family's 1533-position model. The record is from RNAcentral. Lineage: Bacteria; Pseudomonadati; Campylobacterota; Epsilonproteobacteria; Campylobacterales; Campylobacteraceae.
UGCAGUCGACGGAGAUUAAGUAGCUUGCUAUUUAAUCUUAGUGGCGCACGGGUGAGUAAUAUAUAGCUAACUUGCCCAUUACUAAGGGACAACAGUUGGAAACGACUGCUAAUACCUUAUACUCCGUAUCUAUAUAAGUAGAUACGGGAAAGUUUUUCGGUAAUGGAUAGGGCUAUAUCGUAUCAGCUAGUUGGUAAGGUAACGGCUUACCAAGGCUAUGACGCGUAACUGGUCUGAGAGGAUGAUCAGUCACACUGGAACUGAGACACGGUCCAGACUCCUACGGGAGGCAGCAGUAGGGAAUAUUGCUCAAUGGGGGAAACCCUGAAGCAGCAACGCCGCGUGGAGGAUGACACUUUUCGGAGCGUAAACUCCUUUUCUUGGGAAAGAAUUAUGACGGUACCCAAGGAAUAAGCACCGGCUAACUCCGUGCCAGCAGCCGCGGUAAUACGGAGGGUGCAAGCGUUACUCGGAAUCACUGGGCGUAAAGGACGCGUAGGCGGAUUAUCAAGUCUCUUGUGAAAUCUAACGGCUUAACCGUUAAACUGCUUGGGAAACUGAUAAUCUAGAGUAAGGGAGAGGCAGAUGGAAUUCUUGGUGUAGGGGUAAAAUCCGUAGAGAUCAAGAAGAAUACCCAUUGCGAAAGCGAUCUGCUGGAACUUAACUGACGCUAAUGCGUGAAAGCGUGGGGAGCAAACAGGAUUAGAUACCCUGGUAGUCCACGCCCUAAACGAUGUAUACUAGUUGUUGCUUCGCUAGUCGAGGCAGUAAUGCACCUAACGGAUUAAGUAUACCGCCUGGGGAGUACGGUCGC